AUAGUACUCUCUCCGUUCGGAAUUAAUUGUCUCAGAAAUGAUUGUAUCUAGAACUAAAAUACGUCUAGAUACAUCCAUUUCUGUGACAAGUAAUUCCGAACGGAGGGAGUAGAGG
Molecule: non-coding RNA, 115 nt
Organism: Triticum aestivum (bread wheat)
Lineage: Eukaryota; Viridiplantae; Streptophyta; Magnoliopsida; Poales; Poaceae
Source: Rfam